GUCUAUGGCCGUACCACCCUAAAUGCUCCCGAUCUCAUCUGGUCUUAGAAGCUAAGUCAGGGUCAGGCCUGAUUACUACUUAAAUGGGAGACAAAUCUACAAAAGAGGCUGCUCAGAGACA
Molecule: ribosomal RNA, 121 nt
Filed under: Castor canadensis (American beaver)
Lineage: Eukaryota; Metazoa; Chordata; Mammalia; Rodentia; Castoridae
Source: RNAcentral